UAUUACUUAUAAUCAAUCUGUUUUUACAGUACACUUCUACAAUUUUAAACAAUGUCAUUUAGUAGGUCAGGUUUUUGAAGUGGAUAAAUUAUUACUCGGAGUUUUAUUAUUACGUACCACGAUAUAGCCGCGAUUUCAAUUCAGUCCAAACCUUGCCGGAUCACUAGAACAAAGAUCAGAAGAGGUCGAACUACAGACUUCUAUCAAAUCUAGUAUAAUUUACAAGAAUUGAGUUUAAUUAAUUCUCCAGUAAGUGUUUGUUUUCCAGUUCAAUUAUUCCACUUGGAAUAAUGACUUUGUUCUUUAAUUAAAAUAGAUUAUUACCUGAACGUUAAACUUACUGUUAUACUGAAUAACUUAAAAAUAAAUAAUUGUGUUUGCUUAUCGUGUCUUCACACUUUACGUUUUAUGUCAUGGUAAAAGUUAAAAAUAAACACUUCGUGGCGUUUUGAAC
This is a non-coding RNA of Paramuricea clavata, 454 nucleotides long. The record is from the annotation of a GenBank genome assembly. NCBI's taxonomy places the organism in Eukaryota, Metazoa, Cnidaria, Anthozoa, Malacalcyonacea, Plexauridae.